Molecule: long non-coding RNA, 2885 nt
Organism: Dermacentor albipictus
Lineage: Eukaryota; Metazoa; Arthropoda; Arachnida; Ixodida; Ixodidae
Source: RefSeq, a predicted model, not a curated record
CACAUGAGCGCGAUCCGCGCAUGAUAAGCGCAUCGCCACGAAAGCAAGAUAGGGAACACAUAAGCGUAACCUGUACCUCACGGGUAAAAUUAAACAUCAUCGUAUAUACGUUGCUGUGCGACGGACACAAGCGCACGGAAACAUCACACACUGCACACGUGUACCUCCGAGGUUGUGUCGACAAUUUCUGGGCUACAUUUAAACGACAGCAGGAAGUUACUUCAAUGAGAAACGAAGUGAGGGCACAGGCACUGCAGGUAACGGCUGCGCAUAAAGUCAGUUAGGGUUUUAAGGCCAGUGACCGAGGUUGAAAUCGUUAAAAUCACACCGCAGCGAUAGCUUACACAGGGUAAAUUGUCGAGAUCUUGAAGGCCAUGCUUUUUGCUGACUACAUGUGGCAUAAGCGAUUCAAAAGCAAGAAUACUGCAUGUAAUUUAUUUCUGCCCUAAACUAUAGCACACAAUAUGAGCAUGUCAAUGUUUCUUCUUGUCUAGCAACAUAUGUAUGUAGUUCGGCUCAAAGGCCGGCUCAAAACGGCACAAAACCUGCUGUAGUGGGUAUUAUUGUAGGAAUCACGGAGGCCACAGCAGCCGCACUAUUAUACAGACGGCGCUGGCGGCGCCGGUAUUUUCGUAUUCAACGCGACAGGUAGAAUACGAAGCUACGGCGUGUUGUUAUUGCUCCGUCUUCAACGGUUGUCGUGCGAGCUGCGUCGAUGUGUUUGUUUGACCGUGUGUUAUUAGGUUUGCUGUAAUGAAAUGAGACGUAGUUCGCGAGCACGAAAGUGCCAGAAGAUGGCUUGAGUCUCGCUGUAAGCACGCCGUAUGCGUGGCGCGCCAGCUAAAUGUGGACCAACGAUUUUCAUGCCAUGGAGUGCGUUCCCUUUGUCUCCGCUUGUGUUCGUGGAAAGUUUGGUGGACGGCGCAGAGAAGUAAUGCGUAUUAUUAGCGCGCCUCAGCUCGUCCACUACCCAGUGGCUUGUUUGCUGCAAGUAACAUCGCAGACGCAUCACUGGAAACUUGGAGAGUGCCUUUCGACCUCGUCGUACUGUUGAAACGUGGCGAGGCCGUGACCCACAACAUUAACUACAAGAUCGAGGAGCCCCAAGAAAUGCCGACCCUGUGGAUAUAUGGCUGCAGCAGCAUGGCGUGUGAUCUGGAUCGUCAUGACAGGCUCCACCGUCGCCGUUACUAGACGGACCAAAUGAGGCCAAAAACUAGCCUUUCCUCGCUCCAUUCCUGGGAAGUGAAAUAGCAGGUGGUCAUGUAAGAAUGAACUUGCAACCAUGUGGGCAGUAGCCAAAGCUCCCUACAGUUCAUGCUGGUGGUGGAAUGAUAAGACAAACCGCAAUAUUUAUUUGUUUACUUAUUCACUUAAUAUUUAUUUAUUCAUAUCUCAUGAAUACUGUGCAGUUUUUUUAGCAAGGAGUCAGGUAAAAUAAAGAAAUAUUGUUGCAUCAAAGUAAACGUUAUUUGAAAAAGCAUAAUUCACGUAGCACGAAUUCAUGGAAACUGUAAAUUUUGAAGAAACAGAGCAGUAAGGUUAACAAAUCUUAUAUAACAAAAAAUGAGAUCACAUUUCUGUUGGACCUAAUACCAUAAUUUAAUCUGUCAAAUUAGAGAUACCAUAUGCUGCUCUAAUAUACAAUCACUAAUUUAUGAGUAGAUGCGCGAAACUCUCAAACGUUGCAACAAUUUCAUGCUAGCUGUAAAUUCAUAUAUACAGUUUGUUGACUUUAGACAUAGCAGAUGGAGUCUGCAGAACUAUGAUAUCUCUUUCUGGCACAGAGACGGGCAUUAGUAAGCUUCGUGGUGUUAUUUUUCUUAAACCUGCCAAAUAGUCCUUCCUGCAACAGGUAGAAUUCUCAAAUGCCGCAAACUUAAUUCAAAUUAGUGCUGUGGUUGUCUCAAAAGUAUUUCUGUAUUUUGGAUGUAUUUGAGUAGGAAAAUUUACAGAAUUAACGAACUUGUGCUAGCUCUUUUUUUUUAUUUACAGUUGCAAACUAAGUCCUUUUCCUUCAAGUUUUGCUAUUUUCAGCAAAUUUUAAUAAAAAUUGAUGGUGUUAAUGUAAAAACUAUAAUUUAAACAUUUUUAAAUGUAUCAAACCUCAUCAAAUUUGGUUGCAUAGUUGCCGAGAAAAACGAUUUUACUGUUCAUGUGCAUUACAUAGGAGCUCCUGAGCUAGAUCUUUUUUUAGUCAUUGCGUGUGUCGGUCUGGUUUGUAUUUCUCACCCUAAUUAGAAUAUUGGCUCUGAUCUCAAAAUUGUUUCCCUUACAACGAAAUACAAGCUUUUAAACUUUUUACGAUAUAUGCUGUACUGCUCUAUGAUAACCCCUGGUUGCCACAUUUUUGCAGGGCCUACCAGUGCUAAUCUUACACAUAAACAUAGACUAAAAUGCUGUGUGGUUUCGGUAUAUGGUGUACUUAUCUGUGAAAGCCAUUAUUUGCCACAUUUUUGCAGCGACUGCCAGUGUUAUUUUUGCUCAGACUAAAAUGCUGUGUCGUUUCGUCAGGCUGACACAACAUUGCAGUGCACAUUCAUAUCAGUCUAUUUUCAGGAUUUAGUAUCCAAACAUUUAAUGUGCACUGCUGGAACAGGCACUCCUUUUGCAGUUUUAAUGGUAUGGUUUCUUGUCCUAGUCAAGCCUGUUAUUGCGAGGUGUCAACUGUAAUCAAGUCUGCCACUGAUUCUUUUACCUCAUGUUUCGUGUGUUUGCACCACCAGCUUGACCUGAGAAGCAUGUUGGCAGCUACAGUUUGUGUGUUGCAAGUUCUAGUCUGAAGUGUGUAUGUCACAUAUAUGAAGCAUGUAUCUAGUCUGAAGUGCAAUAAACAUUUCAAACUGAAUACUUUGUGGUUGUAGCACCAAUUAUUUUGCCACUGC